RNAcentral lists this ribosomal RNA (900 nucleotides) under Melanops tulasnei. RNAcentral's name for it is "partial large subunit ribosomal RNA". It matches the Rfam family "Eukaryotic large subunit ribosomal RNA", at positions 42 to 958 of the family's 3401-position model. The record is from RNAcentral. Lineage: Eukaryota; Fungi; Ascomycota; Dothideomycetes; Botryosphaeriales; Melanopsaceae.
AUACAAAAGCGGAGGAAAAGAAACCAACAGGGAUUGCCUUAGUAACGGCGAGUGAAGCGGCAACAGCUCAAAUUUGAAAUCUGGCCCCCUCGGGGUCCGAGUUGUAAUUUGUAGAGGAUGCUUCGGCGAGGGCUCCCGUCUAAGUUCCUUGGAACAGGACGUCGUAGAGGGUGAGAAUCCCGUAUGCGAUGGGUUGCCCGAGCCAUGUGAAGCUCCUUCGACGAGUCGAGUUGUUUGGGAAUGCAGCUCUAAAUGGGAGGUAAAUUUCUUCUAAAGCUAAAUACCGGCCAGAGACCGAUAGCGCACAAGUAGAGUGAUCGAAAGAUGAAAAGCACUUUGGAAAGAGAGUUAAAAAGUACGUGAAAUUGUUGAAAGGGAAGCGCUUGCAGCCAGACUCGUCCGCAGUUGCUCAGCCGGUCUCCUGACCGGUGUACUCUUCUGCGGCCGGGCCAGCAUCAGUUCGGGCGGUCGGAUAAAGGUCCCGGGAAUGUAGCUCCUCUCGGGGAGUGUUAUAGCCCGGGGCGGAAUGCGGCCAGCCCGGACUGAGGAUCUCGCUUCGGCUAGGAUGCUGGCGUAAUGGCUGUAAGCGGCCCGUCUUGAAACACGGACCAAGGAGUCUAACAUCUACGCGAGUGUUUGGGUGUCAAACCCAAGCGCGUAAUUAAAGUGAACGGAGGUGGGAACCCCUCGCGGGGCGCACCAUCGACCGAUCCUGAUGUCUUCGGAUGGAUUUGAGUAAGAGCGUAGCUGUUGGGACCCGAAAGAUGGUGAACUAUGCCUGAAUAGGGUGAAGCCAGAGGAAACUCUGGUGGAGGCUCGCAGCGGUUCUGACGUGCAAAUCGAUCGUCAAAUUUGGGUAUAGGGGCGAAAGACUAAUCGAACCAUCUAGUAGCUGGGUUC